RNAcentral lists this transfer RNA (77 nucleotides) under Flavobacterium psychrophilum. RNAcentral describes it as "tRNA-His". It matches the Rfam family "tRNA". From Rfam's summary of the family: Transfer RNA (tRNA) molecules are approximately 80 nucleotides in length. Their secondary structure includes four short double-helical elements and three loops (D, anti-codon, and T loops). Lineage: Bacteria; Pseudomonadati; Bacteroidota; Flavobacteriia; Flavobacteriales; Flavobacteriaceae. The record is from RNAcentral.
GUGAUUGUAGCUCAGUUGGUUAGAGCGUCGGAUUGUGGUUCCGAAGGUCGGGGGUUCGAGACCCCUCAUUCACCCCU